RNAcentral lists this long non-coding RNA (929 nucleotides) under Nicotiana tabacum (common tobacco). RNAcentral's name for it is "long non-coding RNA (NTAB_LNC011246)". The record is from RNAcentral. Lineage: Eukaryota; Viridiplantae; Streptophyta; Magnoliopsida; Solanales; Solanaceae.
AGCUUUGGAGGUUUCUGCACGGCACGGAUACCUAGAUCUCUUCUUCAAUUUCCCCCUUCCUCCCCUUGCCUUGUGCCGUAAUUUAUUCCUAUUUUCAUCUCUUCUCUCUUCUUCAAAAUCCUUAUAGCCCUCCCUCACCUUCCCCUUUCCUAUAAAUAUCUCUUUCCUCUUCUUUCUCUCUCUCAUGAUUUUGCUCUCUGAUUCUGUGUCCCCAGGUGCGUGCUUUUUCGUUUUUUGCUCAAUUAUGGCUCCAAUUUCUGUUUUUAUCCUUUGAUCUACUCCCUCACCUUCAAAUAUGGCUUCUUUUAAUGUGCUUCCACCUGUUGUACUGUUCGAUCGGCCUUGAUUUUUUCUGUUUGCUUUUGAGUUUGGGCUUAAUAUUAACUACCCUUCUUCUUGAUCUGCUUAACUUGAUUUAUUCUUUUCUUUGUUUUUUUUACUACCUUUUUCGUCAUGCUCAGCAUUUCAUGUCUUAGUAUGGAAUAAAUACAAAUUACGCCGCUCUAAACUUCCAAAACAAAAGCCUUAUUCUCCGCGAAUGAUUAAAAACCUUGUCUUUUUCUCUUUUAAAGUCUAAUUCCGUCUUGAGUUGUUAAAUGCUUCUCGCUGAAAAUUCAUUUAACCACGAAUGAUCCAGUUCCACCCCCUCAAUUUGGCAACCUAAUAAUUAAGCUGAAGCUACUUACUGUUCCAUAAUUACAGUUUUUUAAUCUUCAACUGAAACUUGGAUAAUAACAUAAUUGAAGUAUGUGUACAUGUCAUAUCUGAAGAUGUGAGAAGUUGCUUACUUGGCUUUCCCGUAAUGUACCUGGAUGUUGCCAUUUUGUGCUCAAUUCAGUGUAAAGAUUGAAUCUUUGUGAUUUCUCAUUGCAAAAAUACUUUAGUUUCUCAUUGCAGAAAUACUUUAAAAGAGGAUCUUAUUCAAGCUU